AACGAACGCUGGCGGCGUGGAUAAGACAUGCAAGUCGAACGGGAACUUCAGCUGUAGCAAUACAGUUGAAGUUUUAGUGGCGAACGGGUGCGUAACACGUGGGCAAUCUGCCGAGAAGUGGGGGAUAGCUCGCCGAAAGGCGAAUUAAUACCGCAUAUGAUCAGCUAAGACAUCUUAGCGACAUCAAAGCCGGGGCAACCUGGCGCUUUUUGAGGAGCCCGCGGCCUAUCAGCUAGUUGGUGAGGUAACGGCUCACCAAGGCUAUGACGGGUAGCUGGUCUGAGAGGACGACCAGUCACACUGGAACUGAGACACGGUCCAGACACCUACGGGUGCAGCAGUCGAGAAUUUUUCNCAAUGGGGCAACCCUGAAGGAGCGACGCCGCGUGGAGGAUGAAGGCUUUCGGGUUGUAAACUCCUGUCAUUUGAGAACAAGGUGCAUCGGUUAACUGCCGGUGCAUUGAUAGUAU
RNAcentral lists this ribosomal RNA (470 nucleotides) under uncultured bacterium. RNAcentral describes it as "bacterial SSU rRNA". It matches the Rfam family "Bacterial small subunit ribosomal RNA", at positions 29 to 478 of the family's 1533-position model. The record is from RNAcentral.